CCCAUGUCUACCAGAAUUUGAUAAAAAAAGAUUUAAUGCAUGCUAUUAGGAUUACUUUUGGAGGCGUUCUGAGAUCGACAAUUAAUGGUGAUUUCUGUCGACUUAGAGUUCAGUUAAAUGUGAAAAAACCCUUGCGCAGGGGUAUUUUCAUCUUAACAGAAAAUCAAAGUAAGUUCUGGAUCCCAUUUAAAUAUUAAAAAUUACCAACUUUCUAUUUUGGCUUUGGAAGGAUGGGGCAUGGGCUCAAUGAAUGCCUCACGUUUACACCUGUAGAAAAAAAUAAAAUUAGAGAUGAUCCUCCUUAUUCUUUAGCAUUAAAAGCAGAAGUCAAUUUUGUUGGAAAAGAGAGUUUAAAGCUUAAUGUCAUUUCAAAGAAGAUGCAGAUGCAAUGUUCAUAUACAGGUGCUAUAGAGAAAAUCUCUGAGUAAAUUUUUCAAGAGAGGGAUAGAAGUGAGAUGGGCCAAAAAAUCCAGGAUAACUAAUGUGGAAGCAAACGAAUGUGGGGUAAACAAUAAUUGCGCAAGUCUUUUAAAACCAGUAAAGAAAUCGAGUUGGAAGAGAAUUGAGGCAACUAAAGAGACAGACAUGGCUAACAGUGAGAGUAUUUUGAGGAAAAGAAAAUCGGAGGAGUUAAAAAUUGAAGAUGACAAUAAAGGAAUAUACUAUAAAGAGGAAGCAAAAAGAAUGAAAUAUAAUGAUUAAGAUUUUCAUAUCGUGAAAGGUAUAAAUCAGCAAGCAGAAACUCUCAAGCAUGAUUGUUUUACCAACAAAAAUAGAUCGACAGCUGCCAAUGGGCAAGCCGACCAGACACAAUGAAAGCCAUUUGUUGGAACGUCGUGGAUUGAGGAGUCCACAGGCAGUAAGAAGCUUCGGUAUUUGCUGAAGCAACAUAAACCCCAAAUGGUAUUUCUUAUGAAGACAAAAAUAGAUGAAAGCGCAUAGAAAAAAUCAAGAGGAGAUGUGGUUUUGAGAAUGGAAUCGAUGUAGGAGCAGCAGGUUCUAGAGGUGGAAUUUCUAUGGCAUGGAAAGUAGAAAUUACGGUUUGCCUAAACAAUUUCUCAAAAAGCUAUAUUGAUGUGAUUGUAAAAGAGGACAAUGUCAAUGAAGAGUGGAGGUUUACAGGGUUUUAUGGAUCACCUUAUGCUACCAAUAAGGAUGUUUCUUGGAACUUAUUAAGGAAGUUGGGUCAGGAUCAGAAUCAUCCAUAGUUGGAUGUGGUGAUUUUAACGAAAUAAUGUAUUCGUUCAAAAAGAGUGGAGGUCAACCGAGGGACGAGAAAAAUGGAAGCUUUUCGCGGGGUUUUAGAAGAAUGUCAACUAAUAGAUGUGGGAUAUUCGGAGGUUUGGUUUACGUGAGAGCGAGGGAAUCUACUGGAAGCGAAUAUUAAAGAGUGAUUGAACAGGGGAGUGGCGAAUAAAAAAUGGCUGGCCCAAAAGGAGUUAUUCAGCAUUUAAUACACUCAAUUUCAGAUCAUUGUCCCUUACUAAUCAAUAAUAACAAUAAGAGGAGCUAUAAAGGGAUACCAAGUUUUAAAUUCGAGGCAUGGUGGACCAUGGAGAAAUCUAUUGAAAGAGAGAUUAAAACAUCGUGGGAAUCAUCAAAUGGAACUAUUGCUCAAAGGCUAGAAAAGCUGCAGACAAGAUUGAGGAGGUGGGCAAGCUCAAUAAAAAAGGGUAGAGAUGGGUUGAAGAGUAAGCUCACAAAGGAACUUGAAGAUCUUUUGGCAGGCAACAGAGAUGAUGACACAAUAGUAAAACUGAUUGAUACUAAAAUUCAUUUUAAUAUGGAGAUAAAUAAGGAUGAUAUGUACUGGGAACAAAGGGCGUAAGCCAAUUGGCUUUAAUUGGGUGAAAAAAUUCUGGCUUUUUCCACAAAUAUGCCACAGCUCGUAGAUGAACGAACACAAUUACUAGGCUGGAAUUUGAUGAUGGGAGGGAAAUUUCUGAUGAAUAAGCAAUUAAUGAGUCAGCCUCAAAUUACUUCCAGAAUUUAUUUUCGUCAAACGGUACUAGGAAUCUAUCACAUAUUCUAAAAGGUAUUCAUUCUAAUAUCUCAUCUGAUAUUAACACAGAUUUACUAGUACCUUUUACAGCAGCAGAGGUAUUUUCAACCUUGAAAGAAAUAGGGCCCACUAAAGCACCUGGUUGUGAUGGAUUUCCAGCUUUAUUUUUUCAAAGAUUCUGGCACAUUGUAGGUAAAGAUGUUGAAAAAUUUUGUUUGGGCAUACUGAACGACGGACGAGAUUUUGACUCUUUAAACUUUACAGAUAUUGUGCUUAUCCCAAAAUUACCAAACCCCACAAGUCUUGUUAAAUUUAGACCUAUCAGCUUAUGCACAGUUCUAUACAAAAUUGUGGCAAAAGUAAUUACAAAUCGUAUUAAAAAAGUCAUUGGAAAAUGUAUUGAUAAGACUCAAAGUGAUUUUCUUCCCAGAAGGUUAAUUACUAACAAUGUGCUCAUAGCCUAUGAACUCUUGCAUACACCACGUCAACGACGGAAUGAGAAAAAAAGGCUAAUGGCAGUUAAGCUAGAUAUGAGCAAGGCUUACGAUAGAGUUGAGUGGGUUUUUUUAAAAGAAGUUAUGCUUCAAAUAGGAUUUGCUAUAGAAUGGGUAACAUUAAUAAUGAAAUGCAUAUCUACAGUCUCUUAUACAGUGAACAUCAAUGGGAGAAGAGGAAAGGUUUUUAAGCCUACUAGAGAGCUUCGUCAGGGUAACCCGCUCAGCCAUUUUAUUUUUUUAAUAUGUAGUGAGAGACUCUCGUCUUUAAUAAGAAUGGCCAUAGAUAAGGGAUCGAUGAAUGGAGUAAGGGCUAGUAGAAGAGGACCUGAAACAUCACACUUGCUUUUUGCAGAUGACUGUAUACUGUUGGGUGAGGCGACACAACGAGGGAGAAAAUUUUCAAAUAUAUUUUGAAGGAAUAUGAACAGUGCUCAGGUCAAUGUGUAAACUACAACAAAUUAACAAUUUUCUACAGCUCAAAUACAACAGAACGAGAGAAAGAAGAAAUAUCGAGUUUGCUAGGUAUGAGAAGCUCCACAAAUAUGGAAAAAUAUCUAGAACUUCCUAAUGUUGUAGGAAGGCGAAAGAAGGAAGCUUUUCAGAAUCUCAAAGAUAAAAUUAAGCUGAGAAUUGUAAGCUGGAGUACUAGGUUACUUUCACAAGGGGGAAAGAAGGUAUUUAUAAAAUCAGUUCUUCAAGCAAUUCCAACUUAUGCUAUGUCAUGUUUCCUUUUACCAAAAUCGUUAUGUGGGGAGUUAGAAAAUAUUUUUGCUAAAUUCUGGUGGCAAAAAGGACAGAGUAGGAAAGGGAUACACUGAUGUCAAUGGAAAUUCAUGUGUCGAUCAAAAAAAGUGGGGGGAUUGGGAUUUAGAAAUAUGACACAAUUCAAUAUUUCUCUACUUGCUAAGCAAGGGUGGAGGAUCAUUACUAAUCAGGAUUCUUUAGUUACGCAAGUUUUUAAAGCAAAAUAUUUUCUGAAUGAUCAUUUCUUAAAGUGUCGAUUGGGAAAAACCAGCUUUUAUAUAUGGAAAAGCAUAUGGGCAGCCAAAGGUGUCUUGGAAAAAGAAAUGUGUUGGAGGGUUGGCACAGGCAGAAAUAUUUUUAUAAAUGCUGAUGCUUGGAUUCCAGUUGAUAAUUUUAUGCAAGAUGCCAAGGUCAGUGAAUUGAUCGACAGUAAUGAAAGAGCAUGGAGAAGAGAAUUUAUAAACAAUACCUUUUUAGAGGAUGAUGCUGGAAAAAUCCUCUGAAUACCUUUAGCAAGCGCACCUCAUGAUGAUCUACUGAUCUGGGGAGGCGAGCAUUCAAGAGAGUUUUCGGUCCGCAACUUCUAUAAACUAUUACUAACUUUUGAUGAAAUCCCUAGAGCUUACCUUUACAAACCGGCUACAGAAAUUUCUACAAAAAACUAUGGCUCCUAAAUCUACCAAAUAAAAUCAAGAUUACAAUAUGGAGAAUCUCAUGGAAUUAUUUUCCGAUAUGGGUUAAUAUGCAGCAUCGAAAGCUUGUAAGCAAUACAAGCUGCCCCCAAUGUGGAGAAAGAGCUGAAACGAUCGACCAUAUCUUUCGUGAAUGCCCUGUCAUAGUGGAUGUUUAGACACUAUUAAAAAUGCAGAAUAUUAUUCGGGAGCCUUAUACAGAUUUUCUACAAUGGAUCACCUACAUCAUUGACCAGCUUUCUUCACACCAGAGCUGUCUCUUUUGUUGUGGAUUGUGGACUAUAUGGGGAGAAAGAAACAGAAUAAUACACGAACAGAAAAACACUACAGGUUAGCAAGUAGUAGACUUCAUAAACAACUAUAUUGCUGAACUUGAUGGGUUAGAAAUAAAAAAUCCAACAAAAAGGAAGAUGAUAGUAGGAUAGAGUUACCCGCCUAGUGAGUUCGUCAAAAUAAAUUUUGAUGAUGCGUAUGAUGCGAAUCACCAUCAAUCUGCCUCAGAGAUUGUUGCCAGAAACGAAGAAGGGGAUGUCUUACUUUCCUGCUCCGAGAUCCACCACGGGGUAACGUCCGCCUUUGCAGCUGAAGCAAUAGCAUGUAGAAAAGCGGUCCAAGUAGGAGGGGAACAGGAGUGGUCGAAGGUUCUGAUAGAAGGUGACUCCCUCACAAUAAUAAAAAAAUGUGCAACCAAAAGUCAAGAUCGUUCACAAAUAGGGGCAUAUAUACACGAUAUUCAACAAAAAGUUAAUAGAUCUAGAAGCUUUAUUUUUAAACAUACACCUAGAUCAGAGAAUGCCCUUGUGUAAUACCCCUACCCGUAUUCAUUGCCGGAAUAGGGUACGAGGCAUUACUGGAGUUUACGAAUUAAAUUUUUUUUUAUAUUCAAUAUAGCCCUUUUAUAAAUAUCUAACCUUCCCUGUAAUAUUAAAUCGAGACCAAUCCACAUCAACCAAAUCAAUUCAACAUAUUUUCAUGAUAGAUUCAUGCAUUUAUAUAAGAUAACGUCAUCACAUAUCUAUAACCAGGCUUGUUAACCAUACUAAUGGCUAACUUUACAUUCAUUUCACGUUAACAUUUACUUUGUUAGCUUAUACAUGCCAUUGAUUUCCAAAAUAAAGUUUCUUUAUAUACCGAAAUCCUGAGGUUGACAGUGUGAUGUGUCUCCGACCAAAUCCGACCUCCGAGCUCUUAAUACUACAAAACAGGGAAAAAGGAAACAGGGUAAGCACUUUGUGCUUAGUAAGCUCAUGUAACAAGAAUUAUACUUACCUAAUAUUUUCAAUACAAUAUAAUAAACAUCCAUAUAUCCAUUCAAUGCAUUAUUACCUUAAUAUGCACAAACUCAACAUUCAAGUUAGUACAAUAAUUUCCAUGUACCAAUAAUAUAUACCAUGAUUGAUGUACUCAUCAAUACCAUGGUUUUCAUUCCCUUAUUAUUUUUCAUAUUUAUCCCGUUGAAUUUAUCAGAAUUUCGAUGGAUUUUCAGAUGUACACUUUUAGUGUAUAAUUCCGGGUCCGUCAAUUCAUAUUCAUGUGCGCACAUUUUCAUUUCAGAGAGCACACUCCCGCGAACCUCAACCUUGCAGCGGGAUUACCAGUCCAGGCUAAAUCCUCUGCAAUAUAAACUCAUAGAGUAUUGUCGGGAUUACCAGUCCAGGCUAAAUCCCCUGCAACGACAAUUACUCUAAUGAGCUUGGAUCUGAAUUACUAGUCCAGGUUAAAUUCAGACCCUAAUUCGGAUUACCCGUCCGGGCUAAAUCCAUUUUACACAUAUUCUUCGGGAGGGCUAUAUCAGGAUAGGAUCACCCGUCCGGGCUAGAUCCUUUUUACCGUCAAUUCCUUUUCAGAGAUCCAUCGAAUUUUCCUUUCAUUCAAACGGGAUUUCUUUCCAUUUUAUCAAAUAUAUCAAUGUUUCAUUAAUUUUCAUACAAUGAACACUCAAAUCAUAUUCACAUCAAUAACAUACAAUCUCAAGCAUUUCAGAAUAUAAUUCAAGUUACACGAACUUACCUUGAUACUUAUUUGUAAACAGUAAAAAUCUACUAAUCCCGAACUUUUUCCUUUCCUCGAUCUAGCUUCGUAUUUGAAUCUUAUGGAUCUAAAUAAAUAAAUUUAAUUAUCAAUUUAAUGCAUUUGAUGUUCAUAUGCAACAUUCUCUAUAAUUCAACUAUUAUUUAUAGUUCAUUCAAAGCUGUCUACUUGAGUCAUAGUCACUAAAUUAUUUAUAACUUGAGCUACAGAACUCCAAAUUAAGAUCCGUUAAUUUUUCCUGAAACUAGACUCAUAUAUAUUUUUACCAUAAAAUUUUCAGAAUUUUUGGUUUAGCCAAUCAGUACAGUUUAUUCUUCAAAGUCACCCCUGUUCUGUUGUCUAACAGUUCUGACCCUUCUUCACUAAAAAUAAAUUAUCUCUUUAUACAGAAUUCAAAUGAUGUUCUUGUUUAUUUCUAUUAAAAAUAUACUCAUUCAUAAUUCUAGACAUAUAAAUUUAAGUCCCUAAUUAUUUUUAUUCAAUUUUUUAUAAUUUUUCAAAGUCAGAACAAGGGAACCCGAAUUCAUUCUGACAUCGUCUCACAAAAUUCAUUAUAUCUCAAAAUUUACAAAUCCAUUGCUUACAAUAUUUCUUCUAUGAGAAACUAGACUCAAUAAGCUUUAAUUACAUAUUUUUUUCAUCUUCUAAUUCGAUUCCUACAAUUUUUGGUGAUUUUUCAAAGUUAGUCUACUGCUGUUGUCCAAACUGUUCUAGUGCAAGCUGUUUAUUACUAUUUUUCCCCUAAGCUUUUAAUAAAUGAUAAUUUCGUCCCUACUCAAUUAGCCUCUCAAUUGAGCUGAUUUUUCUCAAUUAACAUUUUAUUCUAUCACCUUAAACUAGUUUACAACCUUUAGGAAUCAGAAUUUCAGCAAUAGACUUUAAUUUCAAACAUUUUCAUAAUUAGGUCCUAAAAAUCAAUUUCCAGUGAAAUUACCUAAUAAAAUCAUCUCAUAAACAAAUUAAAGCUUUAAUUUCAUUCUAUUUCAUCAUAAACUUACAGCACUCAACCAUGGUGACUUUCAAUUUCAUCCAUGAAAUCAAAAACUAAUGAAUUUAAUAGUAGGAUCUAGUUGUAAAAGUCUUAAAAACACAAAAAUUACAAGAAAAAGGCAAGGAUUAACUCACUUGGUGCAAAAAUUAUGAAAUACCAGCUUAGAGAACCCCCCUAUGGCGUUUUUAGCUGCUGGAAUUGAAGAGAAAUGAAGAGAAAUCUAGAUAUUUCCUAUUUAGUCCUAGUUUUAUUUAGUUAAUUUUGUAAUAUUUCAAUUUUACCCUUAAUUUAUCAAUUUUUCUGCUGAUUUCAUACCUUUGCCGUCCAGCCCAAAUAACUUUUGGGUCUAAUUGCCUUUUAAAUCCUUUCUCAUUAGACUCUUAAGCUAUUUAAUCACUCUAGCAACUUUUACACCUAUUACAAUUUAGUCCUUUUCAUUUAAUUGACUACCCAAACAUUAAAAUUUCCUAACGAAAUUUUAAUACCACAUUAAUAACAUUUCAUAAAUAUUUAAAAAAUUAUUUUUGACUCGGUUUUACGAGAUAGAGGUCACGAUACCUUAUUUUACCCAAUUUCUUCAAUAAUUUCUUUUUCUAACUAAUCACUAAAUUGAUAAAAUUUUCCUAUCAAUAUUUUCAUACGAUUUUCCUAUCAUAUAAAUUUUCAAGCAAAAAUAUUGAAAUAAAUUUCUCUUUAAAUCGGAUUUAUGAUUACGAAACCACUGUUUCGAUAACAUUGAAUUUACGCCAUUACACUUUGCGCAUAUAUUGGCAACAGAAACUCUAAAAAGGGAAGAAGAAAUGUACCUAGAAAUGAGGGUUCCGGAGUAUGUUGAACUUCAACGAAGGAUUGACCGGAGAAGAGAACUAGAUUAAGAAUGAAAGGGCAAAAAGAUAAAAGAGGAAAGCAAAGAAUAGCAGAAGAAAGGUUUCUGAAAGAACAAACUUUCCUCAAAAAAUGAAUCGUAAGAAAGAAAAAGCAAAAAUGGUACUUAGAUAACAAGAUGAUUCAUAGCAUUUUCUGACUGGACAUUGAUUACGCACAUUUAAUUAGCAUUCUAGACUAUUCGGAAAAUAUCUAGAUAUUUUCUAUUUAGGUUUUGGGCCACUUUAGU
RNAcentral lists this long non-coding RNA (8071 nucleotides) under Gossypium barbadense (sea-island cotton). RNAcentral describes it as "long non-coding RNA (GBAR_LNC007040)". Lineage: Eukaryota; Viridiplantae; Streptophyta; Magnoliopsida; Malvales; Malvaceae. The record is from RNAcentral.